GGUUCCAUAGUGUAGCAAUUAGCACGUCUGCUUUACGCACAGAAGGUCCUGGGUUCACGUCCCAGUGGAGCCA
Molecule: non-coding RNA, 73 nt
Organism: Pteropus alecto (black flying fox)
Lineage: Eukaryota; Metazoa; Chordata; Mammalia; Chiroptera; Pteropodidae
Source: Rfam